This 618-nucleotide long non-coding RNA is filed under the name Olea europaea (common olive). Its description in RNAcentral is "long non-coding RNA (OEUR_LNC009152)". The record is from RNAcentral. Lineage: Eukaryota; Viridiplantae; Streptophyta; Magnoliopsida; Lamiales; Oleaceae.
AGAGUAAGAGUGUUGAACAAGAAGAUAAUGUAAGUGAAAAAUAAAAUUAUUGAACGUUAAUCUAAAUUUCAUAUGAUUUUUAUAUUCAAAAUAAUAAAUUGUACAAUUGGAUAUGAAUUUUACAGCCUAGAGACGGAAGCUUGAAUAGUUCAAAUAGCCUUCAAAAUAGGAAAUGCAAAUUGUUAUCUUGGUUUGGGAAAGCUGAUGUUGUUGCAAAAGGUGAAAUCGCAUCAACAAAUACAAGUAAUUUGGUGCAUCAUGUACCACUUGAUAAUGAAUGUUGGAGAGUUUAGGUUAAUGAAGUGAUUGAUAAUAUCAGCUUAUAUCGUCCUACACGUGAGCUUUUUCUUCUUGAAGAUGCAUUAGGAAGUACAAUAGCAUGACCAAUUAGGUACAUUGAAGUGGAUUCGCUAUAAUCACAAUGAAGGUAUGCUUAACUUCUUUUCUAUUUUAAUUUCACAAUUCAUUAGGCAAAUAUGUUACAAUUCAAGUCCUCCUAGCAUUCUUGCUUCUGUGGCUCUAACACUUUUAACUGGCCAUUGAGCGUAACUUGAUCACCGACAUUUGAUGAAAUUUCAGGUACAGGUAGAUUACAAAUGAGCAUUGCUGAAGUCUCAC